UAGGGAAUAUUGCGCAAUGGGCGAAAGCCUGACGCAGCAAUACCGCGUGAGUGAGGAAGGUCUUCGGAUUGUAAAGCUCUGUCAGAAUGGAAAAACGGCGGACGGUCUAAUAGGCCGUACGAGUGAUGGUACAUUCAAAGGAAGCACCGGCCAACUUCGUGCCAGCAGCCGCGGUAAUACGAAGGGUGCAAGCGUUGUUCGGAUUUAUUGGGCGUAUAGAGAAGCGUAGGUGUUUUUGUAAGUCUUUAGUUAAAUACCACGGCUCAACCGUGGAGAAGCUUUGGAAACUACAAAAAUUGAGACAGGAAUGGGCGAAUGGAAUUCCCAGUGGAGCGGUGAAAUGCGUUGAUAUUGGGAGGAACAUCAGUGGCGAAGGCGAUUCGCUGGUCCUUGUCUGACACUAAGGCUCGAAAGCGUGGGGAGCGAAAC
Molecule: ribosomal RNA, 429 nt
Filed under: uncultured prokaryote
Description: bacterial SSU rRNA
Rfam family: Bacterial small subunit ribosomal RNA
Source: RNAcentral